GGGUGGGCCCGGCGCGGCAGAGCCUUGCGAACCCCGUCAGGUCCGAGAGGAAGCAGCGGUAAUGAAGUGACUCUGGGUGCCGCCGGUAAACCUGCCCGGA
Molecule: signal recognition particle RNA, 100 nt
Filed under: Anaerolineales bacterium
Lineage: Bacteria; Bacillati; Chloroflexota; Anaerolineae; Anaerolineales
Description: signal recognition particle sRNA small type
Rfam family: Bacterial small signal recognition particle RNA
About the family: The signal recognition particle (SRP) is a universally conserved ribonucleoprotein involved in the co-translational targeting of proteins to membranes. Archaeal SRP consists of a 7S RNA and homologues of the eukaryotic SRP19 and SRP54 proteins.
Source: RNAcentral